RNAcentral lists this ribosomal RNA (762 nucleotides) under uncultured Serratia sp. RNAcentral's name for it is "bacterial SSU rRNA". It matches the Rfam family "Bacterial small subunit ribosomal RNA", at positions 737 to 1502 of the family's 1533-position model. The record is from RNAcentral. Lineage: Bacteria; Pseudomonadati; Pseudomonadota; Gammaproteobacteria; Enterobacterales; Yersiniaceae.
AGACUGACGCUCAGGUGCGAAAGCGUGGGGAGCAAACAGGAUUAGAUACCUGGUAGUCCACGCUGUAAACGAUGUCGAUUUGGAGGUUGUGCCAUGAGGCGUGGCUUCCGGAGCUAACGCGUUAAAUCGACCGCUGGGGAGUACGGCCGCAAGGUUAAAACUCAAAUGAAUUGACGGGGGCCCGCACAAGCGGUGGAGCAUGUGGUUUAAUUCGAUGCAACGCGAAGAACCUUACCUACUCUUGACAUCCAGAGAACUUUCCAGAGAUGGAUUGGUGCCUUCGGGAACUCUGAGACAGGUGCUGCAUGGCUGUCGUCAGCUCGUGUUGUGAAAUGUUGGGUUAAGUCCCGCAACGAGCGCAACCCUUAUCCUUUGUUGCCAGCGGUUCGGCCGGGAACUCAAAGGAGACUGCCAGUGAUAAACUGGAGGAAGGUGGGGAUGACGUCAAGUCAUCAUGGCCCUUACGAGUAGGGCUACACACGUGCUACAAUGGCGUAUACAAAGAGAAGCGACCUCGCGAGAGCAAGCGGACCUCAUAAAGUACGUCGUAGUCCGGAUUGGAGUCUGCAACUCGACUCCAUGAAGUCGGAAUCGCUAGUAAUCGUAGAUCAGAAUGCUACGGUGAAUACGUUCCCGGGCCUUGUACACACCGCCCGUCACACCAUGGGAGUGGGUUGCAAAAGAAGUAGGUAGCUUAACCUUCGGGAGGGCGCUUACCACUUUGUGAUUCAUGACUGGGGUGAAGUCGUAACAAGGUAACCA